GCUGUGGCCCCGGCAACAGCGGCCCGAUAACCCGCCAGGCCCGGAAGGGAGCAACGGUAACGGGUGCCGCCGUGUGCCGGGGCCGCCUUACU
RNAcentral lists this signal recognition particle RNA (92 nucleotides) under Deltaproteobacteria bacterium. RNAcentral describes it as "signal recognition particle sRNA small type". It matches the Rfam family "Bacterial small signal recognition particle RNA". From Rfam's summary of the family: The signal recognition particle (SRP) is a universally conserved ribonucleoprotein involved in the co-translational targeting of proteins to membranes. Archaeal SRP consists of a 7S RNA and homologues of the eukaryotic SRP19 and SRP54 proteins. The record is from RNAcentral. Lineage: Bacteria; Pseudomonadati; Myxococcota; Myxococcia.